CUGCGGAUCAAGUUGAUUGUUACG
RNAcentral lists this microRNA (24 nucleotides) under Glycine max (soybean). Its description in RNAcentral is "gma-miR10433". The record is from miRBase by way of RNAcentral. Lineage: Eukaryota; Viridiplantae; Streptophyta; Magnoliopsida; Fabales; Fabaceae.